Molecule: ribosomal RNA, 373 nt
Filed under: uncultured Fidelibacterota bacterium
Lineage: Bacteria; Pseudomonadati; Fidelibacterota
Description: bacterial SSU rRNA
Rfam family: Bacterial small subunit ribosomal RNA
Source: RNAcentral
UAAUACGGAUGUGGCGAGCGUUACUCGGUUUGACUGGGUGUAAAGGGUCCGCAGGCGGCCAAAUAAGUGAAAGGUGAAAUCUUUCGGCUCAACCGAAAAACUGCCUUUCAAACUGCUUGGCUUGAGGAUGGAAGGGGAGAGUGGAACUGCCGGUGUAAAGGUGAAAUUUGUGGAUAUCGGUAGGAACGCCCGUGGAGAAGUCGGCUCUCUGGUCCAUUCCUGACGCUGAGGGACGAAAGCUAGGGGAGCAAACAGGAUUAGAUACCCUGGUAGUCCUAGCUGUAAACUAUGGGCACUAGGUGUCCGUCCGUAAGGAUGGGUGCCGCAGUUAACACAUUAAGUGCCCCACCUGGGGACUACGGCCGCAAGGCUA